Long non-coding RNA from Marmota monax (woodchuck), 4805 nucleotides. RefSeq lists it as uncharacterized. The transcript is spliced from 2 exons. NCBI's taxonomy places the organism in Eukaryota, Metazoa, Chordata, Mammalia, Rodentia, Sciuridae. The record is from RefSeq and is a predicted model, not a curated record.
GGGGGUGGGGGGCCUGGGGAUGUGGCUCAAGUGGUAGCGCGCCCGCCUAGCAUGCGUGAGGCACUGGGUUCAAUUCUUAGCACCACAUAAAAAUUAAAAAAUAAAGAUAUUGUGUCCACCUAAAACUAAAAAAAUAAAUAUUAAAAAAAAAGAAUUGGGAACUGUGGCAAAACAGUGAGUGUGUAAAAUAGAAAUAGUGAGCACAAAAGGAAAAUCUGUAUAGUGCCCUAGGGCUGAGGCCAAAUAGGUAAGGAAGGAUAAACCUGGAUAAACUUGGAAGGGGUUCAGACCUUCAAGAACGAGUGGUGUGCUUCAGCCACCUGGUAGCAGAGCCGUUUCCUUGUUUGGCCGGGCUGAAUCUGACCUGGAGUUUCUGAGCAAACAACAGACCACCCUCUGGAACGGAGGGAGGGAGGCAGGCAAAGAUUUUUGUUUUACCUUUAGUUGGUGGCUCUUUCCAGAAAUUUGGACAUUUUAUCUAAGUUUUCAAAUUUGUAGUCAUAAAUUCAUUCAUGAUAUUUUCUUAUUAUUUUCACAUCUAUAGAUUCUUUAGUAAUGCCAGAUUCUUUAUAUGGGUAAAUCUCACUCUAUGUUUUUCUUUUUCCUGUUCAGACUAAGAAUUUUUCAAUUUGGUUGGUCACUUCAAAUAGCCAUCUUUUUGUUCUAAUCCAUCAAAUACAUCUUCUACUCAAUCACUGAGCUUUCUUUACUUGGAAAAUAUAUCAACUAAUAAGAGGGAUGGCUUUUUGUAUCAAAUAAAUUAUUGCUUUGUUUUCUUUCUCUCACUCCCAGGCCUCUAUUGUCUCACAUCAAAGCAGGAAAAAGAAAAAAAAAAAAAAAGUUACACAAUAAUAUGAUGACAUCACUUUGUGCAAAAGCCCAGGAAUAGUCUUAUUUUAAUCAAAAGAACAUUACACAGCUAUUUGCUAGUUUGUAAUAGACUUUACUGGAUGCUUCCUGCUAGUGGCCUUAGAAAACAACAUCAUCUAAUAUAAAAAGUUUAAUACUAGAUUCCAUGUGGCCUUGGGCAAAUCACAGGGCUUUGUCAUUAUUUUUUCUUAUUUAUAAAGUAAGAUAAUAAUAGCUGUACUACUUGCCUCACAGGAUUAUAACAUAGAGGGUCAAUAAGAUAUUACAUAUGAAAAUGUUCAUAAACUAUAUAUCUCCAUUUGAAGCCAAGAAAUUGCAGUUGUGAUCCAUUAAAAAAGUUAUCUUUAGGAAAAAAUGUACACAGAAAUUACAUUGGAUUUCUGUUCUCAGGUACAAACAAUGAGUCAAACUAUUAGGGAAACCUGAUUUUAAAACCUCUCUGCUACUUAUGAGCCCUGUGGCACAUUUAAUUUAACUUUCAAGUUUCCUUACAUGUAAAAGGAAGUUAAGGACACCUUCCCUUCUGAAAUGUCAAAAGGAGUGAAUGAAAUAUUUGUGGAAGUACCUAGCACAGCACUGGAAGUUUCUGGAAGUAACAAUGGGGGGUCAAGACUCUGGGGGAGACUAUGCUUCCACACCCUAUUCUCCCUCUGGGCAUAGCUCCUCCAAGCCUGGGAGGAAGCAUUGUUACAUUCUUUCAUUUGAUUUUCAUAGUAUCCCUAUGGGAUCCACUAAGCAGGUGUUACUAUGCUCAUUUUACAUACGAGAAAACUAAGAAUACUGGCUUUGAUUGUGCUAUGUACUAAAACCAAUAAACACUGUCUGAUACCCAAGAAGAGAACCAUUGGAUGUUUAUUUCUCUUUGCAAAGAACAUCUUUGGCAGUGUCUGCUAAAGCUGAGCAUACCCAUACUUAUGACCCAGAAAUUCCAUUCUUAAGAUUAUAUCAAACAGAAGUGAAUAUAGAUGUUCACCAAAAGACAAUGGAAUAGAAUGUUCAAAGCAGUAGUAUUUGCAGUGCUUCCAAACUGGAAAUUACUCAAAUAUUCACCAACAGGACAAUGGAUAAAUAAAUUGUGCUGUGCUCACAAAAUCAAAUGCUAUACAGCACCAAGGAUGAAUAAAUGACUGCUGAACAAUGCUGCCCUUUAAUAUUAAAUGAAAGAAACAAGACACAACAGUCUAGAUAUGUAGAAAUGUAUGAAGAUGCAUGUAGAAACAUAUAGAUGUCAAUGUGUGUGUAGUAGAUAUGAUGAUUCCAUUUAUAUAAAGUUUUGUUUUUCAUAAACAGCAAAUACUUAUCUUUGGCAACAUAAGUUGGGAUAGUAGUUACCCUUGGGUAGGACAAAGAGUGUGACUGGAGAGGGCCAUGAGGAAAGGUUAUGGGCUUCUAGUUAAUUACUUAUUUAUAUGGAUGGUAGCGAUAGAGAUAUGAUCCCAUCAUGAAAUUCAUCAUUAUUUGUCUGCUUUUGUGUGUGUGUGUGUGUGUAUGUGUGUUAUACUUAAAAAAAAAAAAGUUAAUUUGCCUUAGCCAAAACAGAAAUCCAUUAUCUCAGCUAGGGUUUUCCACUGGCUUCCCAUGGUGCUCACAAAAAAUCCAAAGUCCUCACUGUGGCCUGCAUGGUUACACAUCAUCUGACCCCUGGCGAUUUCCUUUGUAUCACUUCCUCCACUGUUAUUCCCCUUGCUUACUCACCACCAGCCAUGUGACCUUCUUGCUGAUCUGCAAACACAAUAAAAUGCCUUUCUACCCCAAGGCUUUGUACUUGCUAUUCCCUCUGCCUGGAAUGUUCUUCCCUCAGCUGGCUGAAUUGCUGGUCUCUCAUCAUACAGGUACCAGCUCCAAUGUCACUUCUUCAAAAAAUCCUUCACUCAGCACUCCAUCUGAAAUAGAUUUCCCAGGCAUGCUUAAACAUAUAACACCAAUUUUUCUUCCUACCAUCUGCAACUAGCUGAAAUUAUUUAUAUAUUUAUUUAUUUCUAGUUUAUCGUUUAUCUUCCUCGAGAGAACAUAAGGGGAUCAUGUCUGCCAUGUUCAUCAUUGUGUGUUUAGUGCCUAAACACACUUACUAGCUUGUAGCACAUGCUCAUAUAAAUGUUAGUAUUUAAUGAAUUAAUUAAGAUCUUUGGGUGAACUGCCCAGUAGCUACUAUAGCUGGCAUCUCUCUCACAAAGGGAGAUAUAUGAGAAGUUAUAAGUCAUUGAAAAGUGCUGGGAGCCAUUAGCCAAGUAGGUAUGACAAUUUCCUUGCCAGCGUACCCCAUGUUGCUGACAUGUUGCAGUGACAUUGAAUGUACUUAACCUUGCUCAAGGACCAAGGCAGAUUAGGGUGUUCCUGGUUUUAAGAUAAUCUUGUUUAGGGCGUUCCCAGUUUAGGUUCCAGGUUUAAGGUUUAAGAUUAUUCCUGCUGGGAAUAGGGCGUAUCCUGCUGCCUGAGUUCCCCUUGAGUUCUCACGGGAUUCAGACAGUAUAUUUUGGAGAUAGAAGCCCAGUGGAGGUGAAUUUGGGAGAGAAGGUGGAUUUGGGAAGAGAACGUGGAUUGCUAUGUGGUGGCUCGUGAUCAUGUGCCCAGCCAGACUGUGGCAUUUGUGCCCAGCCAGACUGCGGCAGAAAAGAAACCUUUGUUAAUACAGCCUACCAUGCCUAUCUCAGCUUGACGAGGGGCAAGCUCAAAUCUUUCCCCAAUGCUUCCAUGAGCUUUGACCAAUAAGGACGUACUCUAUGAAAUAUGCUUUAGAUAAAACAUCAUAUCCUAAGAUGGGGAAAAAACAACUGGAACUUAACUUCUAUCCCCUAUCCCCAGGUUCUCCAGAGAGAAACAAAAUAUGAUCAGCAGGCAGAAGAGCUCCUCUCUCCAAUCCUGUGCACCUAAGAGAAUGUUGACAUAUUGUCAGCUCAUCUGCAGAACAAGUAGUGAAUGCAGAGAAAACCAUUAUAUAAAGUAGUUCAAUAAACAGCAGAUGUCUCUAUUUGUGUGUUUGAGAUCUUUCUUUCUCACAAUUCCACGUUAGGUACAACAACUAUGACCGAGCUGUCAUCAAUACUGUGCCUUAUGAUGUCGUUCAUCGUUGGUAUACAGCACACCGGACUCUAACAAUUGAGUUGAGGAGACCUGAGAAUGAGCUUUGGGUCAAACUAAAGCCUGGGAGGGUCCUAUUUAUAGACAACUGGAGAGUCCUACAUGGCAGGGAAUCCUUCACUGGCUAUCGCCAACUGUGUGGCUGCUACUUAACAAGAGAUGAUGUCUUAAAUACUGCUCGUCUCUUGGGGCUCCAGGCUUAAAUUUGACAGCAUUGGGAUUAAGAACAUAUCUGCCACCUUGGCGACCAGAAUUUCAUAUCAGCAGAAUAAUAUUGUGUGAAAAUCUACUUCAUAUUGUCUCUCUAUCCCAUCUCAUGAAACAGAAGUGGCCCCUUUCUCUAGCAUGGGAACAUGUUACAGAGAGGGAGGGCUUCUGUCAACCAUCUAGUGGGGUAGAUCUUUCCCCCAAGCUACAACAUGAGCUCACAUUUUCUAAACUUUUUUAGAUAAUUUUGGUAACUAUACUUCAGAAACAUAGAGAAUUCCUUUGAUUCUCCAUAUUGAAAUCAAAGCAAUACUGAGUAGGUAAAUUUUCCUUCUGACUAGGACAGUUAGAAUGAAAUCCAUUCUAGAAAUAACACUGAUAAAUCAACAAUUCACCUAAAUUUUGGUCUUAAUAUCCACAAGGGAGAACAUGUGGUACUUGUUUUUCUAUCUGAUGCACUUCCCUUAACAUAAUGUCCUCUAAUCCCAUCUAUUUUAUACAAAUGAUAGGAUUCUUUUAUGACUGGAUAGUAUUCCAUUACACAUAUGUAUGACAUUUCCUUUAUCCAUUCACCUGUUCAUGGGCAUCUAGGUUGAUUCCAUAUCUUGGCUAUUGUGAAUAAUGCAGCAAUAAACAAGACCAUGCUAGGA